GAUGAACGCUGGCGGCGUGCUUAACACAUGCAAGUCGAACGGAAAGGCCCUGCUUUUGUGGGGUGCUCGAGUGGCGAACGGGUGAGUAACACGUGAGUAACCUGCCCUUGACUUUGGGAUAACUUCAGGAAACUGGGGCUCGUACCGGAUAGGAGCUCCUGCUGCAUGGUGGGGGUUGGAAAGUUUCGGCGGUUGGGGAUGGUCUAGAGGCUUAUCCGCUUGUUGGUGGGGUAGUGGCUUACCAAGGCUUUGACGGGUAGGCUGCCUGGGAGGGUUGACGGCCUCAUUGGGCCUGCGGUACGGACCAGACGCGUACGUGACGCAGUAGGCGGGAGCAUUGCACAGCGGGGCGGAGCGUGAUGUGGCGAUGUCCGGAUCGUGAUGCCCUCCUUUGGGUGAUGAACCGCUUUCUCCGUAGACGAAGAGUGAUUGACGGUAACUGGUAAAGAAGCACCGGCUAACUACGUG
This 468-nucleotide ribosomal RNA is filed under the name uncultured bacterium. RNAcentral's name for it is "partial 16S ribosomal RNA". It matches the Rfam family "Bacterial small subunit ribosomal RNA", at positions 28 to 507 of the family's 1533-position model. The record is from RNAcentral.